ACUUAUAUAGUUUAAACAAAACCUUACUUUUUCAUUGUAAAAAUAAAGAAUUUCUUUUAUAAGUUACUCUU
Molecule: transfer RNA, 71 nt
Filed under: Trichophthalma sp. LRC-2002
Lineage: Eukaryota; Metazoa; Arthropoda; Insecta; Diptera; Nemestrinidae
Description: tRNA-Glu
Source: RNAcentral